Molecule: transfer RNA, 49 nt
Filed under: Semnopithecus entellus (Hanuman langur)
Lineage: Eukaryota; Metazoa; Chordata; Mammalia; Primates; Cercopithecidae
Description: partial tRNA-Leu
Source: RNAcentral
ACUUUUAAAGGAUAACAGCUAUCCACUGGUCUUAGGAACCAAAAACAUU